CGAAUGAAUGAGAAUUUUUUCAAUCUGACAAGUGGGGCUGAAAGCCUUGGCAUGUAGUGUAAAACUGCAUCACCAAUGGGGGUUUGAAUGAAUGCUUCUUGGAACAGAGCAGCAAUAAGGGUGAUACUCCUGUUUGCCAUUGAUAAAUCCUUGUGUACUGCAUGCAUGUGCUGACUCACACUUUUUGGGAAUGAAGUGCAAAUUGGGUGGUAAGUUUCAUUCAAAGAUGCAUAUAAGCUUGAGACUGAUAGUGCACAAGUACCUUGAGGGAAAAAUGAAAAGGACUUUGAAAAGAAAGUUAAAAGAGCCUUAACCUGCUGAGUGGAAAGCAAGCAGACACACUAAAUGUGUGAAAGAUUGCUGUUGUGGUGUACAUCUACUGCAUCAGUUGGUGUGGUGCAAACACAAUGGUGCAUCUUCUUACGUCGCCAUUGCUAAUUCAAUAAUGCGCAUUGAUUGGGAGUUAACACUAUUGCUUGCUGGCAAAGUGU
Molecule: ribosomal RNA, 491 nt
Filed under: Fragilidium cf. duplocampanaeforme
Lineage: Eukaryota; Dinophyceae; Gonyaulacales; Pyrophacaceae
Description: eukaryotic LSU rRNA
Rfam family: Eukaryotic large subunit ribosomal RNA
Source: RNAcentral